AUUGAACGCUGGCGGCAUGCCUUACACAUGCAAGUCGAACGGUAACAGGUCUUCGGAUGCUGACGAGUGGCGAACGGGUGAGUAAUACAUCGGAACGUGCCUAGUAGUGGGGGAUAACUACUCGAAAGAGUGGCUAAUACCGCAUGAGAUCUACGGAUGAAAGCAGGGGAUCGCAAGACCUUGUGCUACUAGAGCGGCCGAUGGCAGAUUAGGUAGUUGGUGGGAUACAAGCUUACCAAGCCGACGAUCUGUAGCUGGUCUGAGAGGACGAUCAGCCACACGGGGACGGAGAAGCGGCCCAGACUCCGACGGGAGGCAGCAGUGGGGAAUUUUGGACAAUGGGCGCAAGCCUGAUCCAGCAAUGCCGCGUGCAGGAUGAAGGCCUUCGGGUUGUAAACUGCUUUUGUACGGAACGAAAAGCCCCGGGUUAAUACCCUGGGGUCAUGACGGUACCGUAAGAAUAAGCACCGGCUAACUACGUGCCAGCCGCCGCAGUAA
Molecule: ribosomal RNA, 498 nt
Filed under: uncultured bacterium
Lineage: Bacteria
Description: partial 16S ribosomal RNA
Rfam family: Bacterial small subunit ribosomal RNA
Source: RNAcentral